This 1358-nucleotide ribosomal RNA is filed under the name uncultured bacterium. Its description in RNAcentral is "bacterial SSU rRNA". It matches the Rfam family "Bacterial small subunit ribosomal RNA", at positions 28 to 1381 of the family's 1533-position model. The record is from RNAcentral.
GAUGAACGCUAGCUACAGGCUUAACACAUGCAAGUCGAGGGGCAGCAUGGUCUUAGCUUGCUAAGGCCGAUGGCGACCGGCGCACGGGUGAGUAACACGUAUCCAACCUGCCGUCUACUCUUGGACAGCCUUCUGAAAGGAAGAUUAAUACAAGAUGGCAUCAUGAGUCCGCAUGUUCACAUGAUUAAAGGUAUUCCGGUAGACGAUGGGGAUGCGUUCCAUUAGAUAGUAGGCGGGGUAACGGCCCACCUAGUCUUCGAUGGAUAGGGGUUCUGAGAGGAAGGUCCCCCACAUUGGAACUGAGACACGGUCCAAACUCCUACGGGAGGCAGCAGUGAGGAAUAUUGGUCAAUGGGCGAGAGCCUGAACCAGCCAAGUAGCGUGAAGGAUGACUGCCCUAUGGGUUGUAAACUUCUUUUAUAGAGGAAUAAAGUCGGGUAUGCAUACCCGUUUGCAUGUACUUUAUGAAUAAGGAUCGGCUAACUCCGUGCCAGCAGCCGCGGUAAUACGGAGGAUCCGAGCGUUAUCCGGAUUUAUUGGGUUUAAAGGGAGCGUAGAUGGAUGUUUAAGUCAGUUGUGAAAGUUUGCGGCUCAACCGUAAAAUUGCAGUUGAUACUGGAUAUCUUGAGUGCAGUUGAGGCAGGCGGAAUUCGUGGUGUAGCGGUGAAAUGCUUAGAUAUCACGAAGAACUCCGAUUGCGAAGGCAGCCUGCUAAGCUGCAACUGACAUUGAGGCUCGAAAGUGUGGGUAUCAAACAGGAUUAGAUACCCUGGUAGUCCACACGGUAAACGAUGAAUACUCGCUGUUUGCGAUAUACGGCAAGCGGCCAAGCGAAAGCGUUAAGUAUUCCACCUGGGGAGUACGCCGGCAACGGUGAAACUCAAAGGAAUUGACGGGGGCCCGCACAAGCGGAGGAACAUGUGGUUUAAUUCGAUGAUACGCGAGGAACCUUACCCGGGCUUAAAUUGCAGAUGAAUUACGGUGAAAGCCGUAAGCCGCAAGGCAUCUGUGAAGGUGCUGCAUGGUUGUCGUCAGCUCGUGCCGUGAGGUGUCGGCUUAAGUGCCAUAACGAGCGCAACCCUUGUUGUCAGUUACUAACAGGUCAUGCUGAGGACUCUGACAAGACUGCCAUCGUAAGAUGUGAGGAAGGUGGGGAUGACGUCAAAUCAGCACGGCCCUUACGUCCGGGGCUACACACGUGUUACAAUGGGGGGUACAGAGGGCCGCUACCACGCGAGUGGAUGCCAAUCCCAAAAACCUCUCUCAGUUCGGACUGGAGUCUGCAACCCGACUCCACGAAGCUGGAUUCGCUAGUAAUCGCGCAUCAGCCACGGCGCGGUGAAUACGUUCCCGGGCCU